This 352-nucleotide ribosomal RNA is filed under the name Acrapex yakoba. RNAcentral describes it as "partial 12S ribosomal RNA". The record is from RNAcentral. Lineage: Eukaryota; Metazoa; Arthropoda; Insecta; Lepidoptera; Noctuidae.
UAAAUUUUAAAAUUAUAAUACUAAAAUAGUAAAUAAUUAUUUAUUAAAACUUAAAUAAUUUGGCGGUAUUUUAGUUCAUUUAGAGGAAUCUGUUUAAUAAUUGAUAUUCCACGAAUAAAUUUACUUAAUUUUUAAUUUUGUAUAUCGUUGUUAUAAAAAUAUUUUUUAAUAAAAUUAAUAUUUAAAAAUUAUUAUAAAAAUUUAAAUCAGAUCAAGAUGCAGAUUAUAGUUAAGAAUAUAAUGGAUUACAAUAAAAUUAUUUAAAUGGAUGUUAAUUUGUAAGAUUUAAUUGAAAGUGGAUUUAAAUGUAAUUUUAUUUAAUUUAAUAAAAUGAUUAAAAAUUAAAAUAUGU